GGAUUAGUUCGGCCUGAGCGCAAGGCGCGGGCGCCGCCAGGCCCCGCGGGGCGCCCCACCCACGGCGCGAGCCAGGCAGCGCGAGAGGUGCCGGAGCGGAGGAGCUGGACGACCAGCCGGCGGAGGCGGGAGCUGACGCCUCCCACCUAUCACACCCUCGGCAGCGAGGCGCACAACCAAUCGGAGGGCGCGUCUUUCUACAGCUGGCCAAUCAGGAGCUGCAAAGCUUGACCCGUCAGAGGUGGGGCGCUGAGGCGAGGACCGGCCGUGGCGCGGCCGGAGCGUGGCAGCGCUGGGGCGUGGGGGAGCGCGAGUCGGGCCAUGAUGUAGAGCAGCAGUGAAGGAGUGCUCUUUUAGUGCUCGAAGAUGUGUGGAAUCUGAACAACUUUGUCUUUUGUCUAAUACUGGGAAAGCCUGCUAUUCAUGGUGUGCAGCUGAAGAGUGGAAUGGAUAGUGUCAUGGCAGCAUAGCAAUUUGUACUGUCAUAUUUAGUGACAUACAAGGGGAAUGUCUGUAGAGACUUUAAAAAAAAAAAAAAAGAGAAGUACAGAAGUACAACUUAAAUAUGUACAGGCAGCAUAAAUGUUGUGGAGGAUGGACAAGCAGGAGCUGGAUCACCAUUUUAGGAGACACUGGCUAUUCAGAACAGAUCACCAUCCUGGGAGAUCUCAGUUCAUUCAUGAGUCCAAGCACCAGAUGUAAGUCUUUACAGUUGCUGUUAAAUCACCUCUGUUUGAAAAACUCGUUCAAGUUACCUCACUGGGAAUCAUCAAACUCGCCAUUUUGGAGAAUACAGAUCAUUGUCAGCUUGAAUCAGCCCCCAGACGUGUCACAGGAGUGUCUGCAUUUGCGUGCAAGAAGCUUCUGA
Molecule: long non-coding RNA, 868 nt
Organism: Chrysolophus pictus (golden pheasant)
Lineage: Eukaryota; Metazoa; Chordata; Aves; Galliformes; Phasianidae
Source: Ensembl